CUUGGGGCCCGCGAUCCAGGCCACUCGGCUGUAGCCGCACCGUUUCCGUGCGGACAGGGCGCGGGGGCGGUGCUCGGGAGGCCGGGGCUGAGUCCCUGGCUCCGUAGCUGUUUGCUCAGGAUCGAUUUUGCCUUCCCUUUCCCGCCCCCUGGCCGACUCUCCAUAUGGCGUGCAGUGGCAGUGCGCUUCCUGGGCUGCCCUGGGCUCAGUACCUGGAGGGGGCAGGCUGCUUGUGGGCUCUGCGCCUGCCAGCCCGAAAACCGAGGGGAAAGCCAGCGACGGAGGGAUUGGCAGCUGCCUGCCGGUCUGCCUAGAGCCAAAGGCAUCCUGUAUUAGCUCACUCAGGAAUCCUAAGCCCUGAAUCGGCGCCCUUUUAGUCACUUCAUCAGACAAGCAGAGUGUGGCAGUGGCUUAAACACUCCUCUCCGUUCCUGUGGGCCCCUCAGGGAGAGCAGGGGAGGCUGUGACAGCCCCCCAUUCACAGAGCUUAUUUCCUGGGACAACUGGACUGUUGGUGGAGAAAAGGGGUGAGAAAGGAGUGGGUACUUUGGAGAUUCCUGUGGGGGCCAGGCAGGGGUCCCUUUUUUAAAAUUUCAGUCUGAAACCUUGAGAAUAGAUUUUAAAUUGGAUGGGAGGGGUUGAAUUAGGGUGGUGGAUGUCUUGGGAUAUUUAAUGGGGAGAAGAGAAGAAAUCCCUAUUUACUGAGUAUC
Manis javanica (Malayan pangolin) is the source of this 710-nucleotide non-coding RNA. The record is from RefSeq and is a predicted model, not a curated record. Lineage: Eukaryota; Metazoa; Chordata; Mammalia; Pholidota; Manidae.